This 256-nucleotide ribosomal RNA is filed under the name uncultured prokaryote. Its description in RNAcentral is "partial 16S ribosomal RNA". It matches the Rfam family "Bacterial small subunit ribosomal RNA", at positions 524 to 776 of the family's 1533-position model. The record is from RNAcentral.
UACAGAGACCUCAAGCGUUAUCCGGAAUCAUUGGGCGUAAAGCGUACCGAUAGGUGGUUUAGAUAGUUUUGGGUAAAAGCCAGAAGCUUAACUUCUGCGUUUGCUCAAAAUACUUCUCAACUAGAGGGACAAAGAGGUGGCUGGAACGAACGGUGUAGUAGUGAAAUGCGUAGAUAUCGGGAGGAACACCUGAGGCGAAGGCGGGCUACUGGGCCGAUACUGACGCUGAUGCGCGAAAGCCAGGGGAGCAAACGGG